CAUUUCUGUUCUGAUGUUUCGUGUGUGUUUAGUGAAUUUGAGUUUGUGGUCGAUUGUGAUUCCAAGGUACCUUACGUCGUUUUUUAUUUUUCCAUUACCAUUUAUAAAACCAUGUUAUUGUGGUGUUUGCUAGUGUUUGGAGUCUUUCAGUCGCUUUUUCGGUAGUUUUGUCGUAUACAAUAAGUGCCGUGUCGUCAGCGUAUUGUAAUAUGUAUGCCGUUCUGUCAAUUUGAUUUUUGUCUGGUAAGUUGUAAUUGUAUAUGUCAGGGCAGUAUAUACUGUAGAGAAAGGGUGAGAGCGGGGAUAGUUGGGGGAGGCCUUGUUCAGGGAAAAAAAAAGGAGAGUGUGUUAUCAAUUCGUACUUGUAGUUGUCUGUUUUCUAAUAAGUUCUUUAUGGUGUGUAGUAGAUAUGGUGGUGUGUGGAGUUUGUAUAGUUUGUAUAGUAAGCCCCUAGGCCAGACACUAUCAAAAGCCAUGUUGAUGUCCAUGAGUAGAGAUGCAUACUUUCCGUCAGUUAGGCCAUAUCGCCAGCAGCCCCAAAUAUCAAUAUCUAAGGGAUUAAGAUCAGAGCUAAGCGAUGGUUAACCGGCUGCCUGGAAAAUGUUAAUUCGUAAAUAUUGAACCGGUAACGUAUAUUAAGGCAGUGCGCUAGCAUGCCUUAUAUCUAGUGGAACCUCUAAAUCAAUAAACAUUUUGUUACAAG
Long non-coding RNA from Dendroctonus ponderosae (mountain pine beetle), 703 nucleotides. RefSeq lists it as uncharacterized. Lineage: Eukaryota; Metazoa; Arthropoda; Insecta; Coleoptera; Curculionidae. The record is from RefSeq and is a predicted model, not a curated record. The transcript has 2 exons.